This 1110-nucleotide long non-coding RNA is filed under the name Zonotrichia albicollis (white-throated sparrow). Its description in RNAcentral is "lncRNA (ENSZALG00000005396.1)". Lineage: Eukaryota; Metazoa; Chordata; Aves; Passeriformes; Passerellidae. The record is from RNAcentral.
GAACCUUGGAUGAAGGUCUUGGAGAAGGAGGAGGAUGAGGAGGAUGAAGAUGAAGGAGGGUGGAGGAGAUGUGGUGACAAUGGAUGGGUCAAAGGGCAGGAGGAGGAGGAGGAGGAGGAAGGUCGGGUUUUGGGGGAGAACCUUGGGGGUCUCUGCUCACUCUGGACCUUCUCCUGCAGCCGCCGUCUUGGGGACAACCAGAGCCCAGGAGAGCUCCAGGGAGCUCCUGGCCACCAAUGCGACCACCAUGACCUCCUCGGAGACCACCAUGGACAACAAUGGGACCACCACAACCACCCCAAAGACCUCCACGACCCCCUCAGGGACCUCCAGGGAAUCCAUGGUCACCACAGGGACCUCCACAGAAUCCAUGGACACCUCAGGAACCUUCACAACCUCCUCAGGGCCCACCACGACCAACACAGGAAUCUCCACAACCACAUCAAGGACCACCCCGACCACCUCAGUGACCACCACGACCACCAUGGAGACCACCCUGAGCAUCUCAGGGACCUCCACGACUCCUCCAGCGUCCACCUCUUCCUCCGGGACCUCCACCACACCCUCGGCACUGACCAACCUCGCCUCGUUGUCUCCACCUUCCUCCUCUUCCUCUUCCUCCCCCACCUCCGGCCUCUCCCCAUCACCUUUCACCUCUUCCUCUUCCUCCUCACCUUCCUCUUCCUCCUCAUCUUCCUCUUCCUCCUCCAGGACCUUCAGAUCUGAACCCCUCAAACUUCUCCAACCCCAACAACUCCUCCUGCUCUUCAUCAUCACCUUCCUCUUCUUCAUUCCCACUCCAACCUCUCUCCAUUGUCUACCUACUCCUCCUCUUCUUCAUCCUCCUCUUCUUCAUCGUCCUCUUCCUCCCCCAAAACCUUCAGGUCAUGGACCCCUCCCAACCCCAAUUCCUCCUGCUCUUCAUCAUCGUCUUCCUCUUCUUCACCCUCCUUUUCUUCAUCCUCUUCUUCAUUCUCCUCCUCAUCCCCCUGUCCCCUCUAACCUGUCCCCACCGUCCUCCUCCUCCUCCUCAUCCUCCUCUUCCUCCAGGACCUUCAGAUCUGAACCCCUCAAACCUCCCCCCACNNNNNNNNNNNNNNNNNNNNNNNN